UAACUGUCUCUUACAGGCGAUCGGUGAAAUUGAUCUCCCUGUGCGAAAGCAGGGAUAACCACAUAAGACGAGAAGACCCUGUGGAACUUCAAAAACAGCAACCACCCUGACAUACAUACUCCCCCACCUCGGGCUCACUUAUCCUCUUAAGGCACUGGUUUGCAUUUUUUCGGUUGGGGCGACCUUGGAGCAAAAAAGAACCUCCAAAAAUUGGACCACAAAUCCAGACUGAGAGCAACUCCUCAAAGUGCGAACAGCACCCAGACCCAAUACAAUUGAUCAAUGGACCAAGCUACCCCAGGGAUAACAGCGCAAUCUCCCUCAAGAGUCCAUAUCGACAGGGAGGUUUACGACCUCGAUGUUGGAUCAGGACAUCCUAGUGGUGCAGCAGCUACUAAGGGUUCGUUUGUUCAACGAUUAACAGUCCUACGUGAUCUGAGUUCAGACCGGAGCAAUCCAGGUCGGUUUCUAUCUAUGAUGAACUCUUCCCCGUACGAAAGGAUAGGAAAAGUGAGGCCAAUACCACAAGCAAGCCUUCGCCUUAAGUUAUGAAGUCAACUCAAUUACGAAAGGCUAUCACACUCCCCCACGUCCUAGAAAAGG
RNAcentral lists this ribosomal RNA (603 nucleotides) under Chersomanes albofasciata (spike-heeled lark). Its description in RNAcentral is "partial 16S ribosomal RNA". It matches the Rfam family "Bacterial large subunit ribosomal RNA", at positions 2013 to 2833 of the family's 2925-position model. Lineage: Eukaryota; Metazoa; Chordata; Aves; Passeriformes; Alaudidae. The record is from RNAcentral.